GUGCUUGCUUCAGCAACACAUAUACUAAAAUUGGAAUAAUACAGAGAAGAUUAGCAUGUCCCUGUGCAAGGAUGAUACAAAAAUUUGUGAAGCAUUCCAUAUAAAA
Molecule: small nuclear RNA, 106 nt
Filed under: Dasypus novemcinctus (nine-banded armadillo)
Lineage: Eukaryota; Metazoa; Chordata; Mammalia; Cingulata; Dasypodidae
Source: RNAcentral